Molecule: non-coding RNA, 122 nt
Filed under: Striatella unipunctata
Lineage: Eukaryota; Bacillariophyta; Striatellaphyceae; Striatellales; Striatellaceae
Source: RNAcentral
UGGUUUGAAUUCAAACCAUGCUCCUGCUCCUUUCAAGCAUCCGUGGCACCAGAUGCUAAAUCGUUUGCGUGUGUGCUUGUAGCACUUGUCAAACAAAAUAACAACAACAACAAUGAUGAUCA